CCUACGGGAGGCAGCAGUGAGGAAUAUUGGUCAAUGGGCGUAAGCCUGAACCAGCCAAGUCGCGUGAGGGAUGAAGGUUCUAUGGAUCGUAAACCUCUUUUAUAAGGGAAUAAAGUGUGGGACGUGUCCUAUUUUGUAUGUACCUUAUGAAUAAGGAUAGGCUAACUCCGUGCCAGCAGCCGCGGUAAUACUGAGGAUCCGAGCGUUAUCCGGAUUUAUUUGGUUUAACGGGUGCGUAGGCGGCCUUUUAAGUCAGCGGUGAAAGUCUGUGGCUCAACCAUAGAAUUGCCGUUGAUACUGGGGGGCUGGAGUAUGGUUGAGGCAGGCGGAAUGCGAGGUGUAGCGGUGAAAUGCUUAGAUAUCACGCAGAACCCCGAUUGCGAAGGCAGCCUGCCAAGCCAUGACUGACGCUGAUGCACGAAAGCGUGGGGAUCAAACAGGAUUAGAUACCCUUGUAGUC
RNAcentral lists this ribosomal RNA (460 nucleotides) under uncultured bacterium. RNAcentral describes it as "partial 16S ribosomal RNA". It matches the Rfam family "Bacterial small subunit ribosomal RNA", at positions 338 to 795 of the family's 1533-position model. The record is from RNAcentral.